Molecule: ribosomal RNA, 389 nt
Filed under: uncultured bacterium
Lineage: Bacteria
Description: bacterial SSU rRNA
Rfam family: Bacterial small subunit ribosomal RNA
Source: RNAcentral
GACGAACGCUGGCGGCGUGCUUAACACAUGCAAGUCGAGCGGUAAGGCCCUUUCGGGGGUACACGAGCGGCGAACGGGUGAGUAACACGUGGGUGACCUGCCCUCAGCUCUGGGAUAAGCCUGGGAAACCGGGUCUAAUACUGGAUAUGACUCCAUGACGCAUGUUGUGGGGUGGAAAGCCUUGUGCGGCUGAGGAUGGGCCCGCGGCCUAUCAGCUUGUUGGUGGGGUGANGGCCUACCAAGGCGACGACGGGUAGCCGGCCUGAGAGGGCGACCGGCCACACUGGGACUGAGACACGGCCCAGACUCCUACGGGAGGCAGCAGUGGGGAAUCUUGCGCAAUGGGCGAAAGCCUGACGCAAGCGACGCCGCGUGAGGGAUGACGGCCU